This 1473-nucleotide ribosomal RNA is filed under the name uncultured Bordetella sp. RNAcentral's name for it is "partial 16S-23S ribosomal RNA intergenic spacer". It matches the Rfam family "Bacterial small subunit ribosomal RNA". The record is from RNAcentral. Lineage: Bacteria; Pseudomonadati; Pseudomonadota; Betaproteobacteria; Burkholderiales; Alcaligenaceae.
GGUUUGAUUAUGGCUCAGAUUGAAGGCGAUGCUUUUACACAUGCAAGUCGAACGGCAGCACGACUUCGGUCUGGUAUGGAGUAAGGAACGGGUGAGUAAUGUAUCGGAACGUGCCUAGUAGCGGGGAUAACUACGCGAAAGCGUAGCUAAUACCGCAUACGCCCUUCGGGGGAAAGCGGGGACCCGCCUCGCACUAUUAGAGCGGCCGAUAUCGGAUUAGCUAGUUGGUGUAAGUAACGGCUCACCAAGGCGACGAUCCUGUAGCUGGUUUGAGAGGACGUGACCAGCCACACUGGGACUGGAGACACGGCCCAGACUCCUACGGGAGGCAGCAGUGGGGAAUUUUGGACAAUGGGGAAACCCUGAUCCAGCCAUCCCGCGUGUGCGAUGAAGGCCUUCGGGUUGUAAAGCACUUUUGGUAGAAAGAAACGGCACGGGAUAAUACCCGUGCAACUGACGGUAUCGCAGAAUAAGCACCGGCUAACCAGCCGUGCCAGCAAUGGCGGUAAUACGUAGGGUGCAAGCGUUAAUCGGAAUUACUGGCGUAAGCGUGCGCAGGCGGUUCGGAAAGAAAGAUGUGAAAUCCCAGAGCUUAACCCUUUGGAACUGCAUUUUUAACUACCGAGCUAGAGGUCAGAGGGAGGUGGAAUUCGCGUGUGCAGUGAAAUGCGUAGAAGAUGCGGAGGAACACCGAUGGCGUAGCAGCCUCCUGGGAUAACACUGACGCUCAUGCACGAAAGCGUGGCACAGGAUUAGAUACCCUGGUAGUCCACGCCCUAAACGAUGUCAACUAGCUGCUGGGGCCUUCGCCUUGGUAGCGCAGCUAACGUUAGUGAAGACCGUCUGGGGAGUACGGUCGCAAGAUUAAAACUCAAAGGAAUUGACGGGGACCCGCACAAGCGGUGUGGAUGAUGGGGAUUAAUUCCGAUGCAACGCGAAAACCUUACCUACCCUUGACAUGUCUGGAAUCCCGAAGAGAUUUGGGAGCCUGCAAGAGAACCGGAACACAGGUGCUGCAUGGCUGUCGUCAGCUCGUGUCGUGAGAUGUUGGGUUAAGUCCCGCAACGAGCGCAACCCUUGUCAUUGCUGCUACGAAAGGGCACCUAAUGAGACUGCCGGUGACAAACCGGAGAAGGUGGAUGAUGUCGUCCUCAUGGCCCUUAUGGGUAGGGCUUGCCACACGUCAUACAAUGGUUUUACGAGUGGUCGUCAACCCCGCGAGGGAGCCAAUCCCAGAAACCCGAUCGUAUCCGAUCGCAGUCUGCAACUCGACUGCGAAGUCGGAAUCGCUAGUAAUCGCGGAUCAGCAUGUCGCGGUGAAUACGUUCCCGGGUCUUGCACACACCGCCCGUCACACCAUGGGAGUGGGUUUUACCAGAAGUAGUUAGUCAAACGUAAGGAGGGCGAUUACCACGGUAGGAUUCAUGACUGUGAAGUCGUAACAAGGUAGCUCUGUUACUAACCACCGCCCGU